AUACGGAGGGUGCAAGCGUUACUCGGAAUCACUGGGCGUAAAGCGCGCGCAGGCGGUCUUUUAAGUUGGAUGUGAAAGCCUACGGCUCAACCGUAGAACUGCAUCCAAAACUAUUAGACUAGAGUGUGGGAGAGGAAGAUGGAAUUAGUUGUGUAGGGGUAAAAUCCGUAGAGAUAACUAGGAAUACCAAAAGCGAAGGCAAUCUUCUGGAACACUACUGACGCUGAGGCGCGAAAGCGUGGGGAGCAAACAGGAUUAGAUACCCCUGUAGUCC
This 274-nucleotide ribosomal RNA is filed under the name uncultured bacterium. Its description in RNAcentral is "partial 16S ribosomal RNA". It matches the Rfam family "Bacterial small subunit ribosomal RNA", at positions 523 to 796 of the family's 1533-position model. The record is from RNAcentral.